This 492-nucleotide ribosomal RNA is filed under the name uncultured bacterium. RNAcentral describes it as "partial 16S ribosomal RNA". It matches the Rfam family "Bacterial small subunit ribosomal RNA", at positions 29 to 507 of the family's 1533-position model. The record is from RNAcentral.
AGUGAACGCUGGCGGUAGGCCUAACACAUGCAAGUCGAACGGCAGCACAGUAAGAGCUUGCUCUUACGGGUGGCGAGUGGCGGACGGGUGAGGAAUACAUCGGAAUCUACUUUUUCGUGGGGGAUAACGUAGGGAAACUUACGCUAAUACCGCAUACGACCUACGGGUGAAAGCAGGGGAUCUUCGGACCUUGCGCGAUUGAAUGAGCCGAUGUCGGGUUAGCUAGUUGGCGGGGUAAAGGCCCACCACAGCGACGAUCCGUAGCUGGUCUGAGAGGAUGAUCAGCCACACUGGAACUGAGACACGGUCCAGACUCCUACGGGAGGACGCAGUGGGGAAUAUUGGACAAUGGGCGCAAGCCUGAUCCAGCCAUACCGCGUGGGUGAAGAAGGCCUUCGGGUUGUAAAGCCCUUUUGUUGGGAAAGAAAAGCAGCAGGUUAAUACCCCGCUGUUCUGACGGUACCCAAAGAAUAAGCACCGGCUAACUUCGUG